RNAcentral lists this ribosomal RNA (497 nucleotides) under uncultured bacterium. RNAcentral's name for it is "partial 16S ribosomal RNA". It matches the Rfam family "Bacterial small subunit ribosomal RNA", at positions 28 to 507 of the family's 1533-position model. The record is from RNAcentral.
GAUGAACGCUGGCGGCGUGCCUAAUACAUGCAAGUCGAGCGAACAGACGAGGAGCUUGCUCCUCUGACGUUAGCGGCGGACGGGUGAGUAACACGUGGAUAACCUACCUAUAAGACUGGGAUAACUUCGGGAAACCGGAGCUAAUACCGGAUAAUAUAUUGAACCGCAUGGUUCAAUAGUGAAAGACGGUUUUGCUGUCACUUAUAGAUGGAUCCGCGCCGCAUUAGCUAGUUGGUAAGGUAACGGCUUACCAAGGCAACGAUGCGUAGCCGACCUGAGAGGGUGGUCGGCCACACUGGAACUGAGACACGGUCCAGACUCCUACGGGAGGCAGCAGUAGGGAAUCUUCCGCAAUGGGCGGAAGCCUGACGGAGCAACGCCGGGUGAGGGAUGAAGGUCUUCCGAUCGUAAAACCUUUUUAAUAGGGAAGAACAAAUGUGUAAGUUACUAUGCACGUCUUGACGGUACCUUAUCAGAAAGCCACGGCUAACUACGUG